AGUGAACGCUGGCGGUAGGCCUAACACAUGCAAGUCGAACGGCAGCACAGUAAGAGCUUGCUCUUACGGGUGGCGAGUGGCGGACGGGUGAGGAAUACAUCGGAAUCUACUUUUUCGUGGGGGAUAACGUAGGGAAACUUACGCUAAUACCGCAUACGACCUACGGGUGAAAGCAGGGGAUCUUCGGACCUUGCGCGAUUGAAUGAGCCGAUGUCGGAUUAGCUAGUUGGCGGGGUAAAGGCCCACCAAGGCGACGAUCCGUAGCUGGUCUGAGAGGAUGGUAGGCCACACUGGAACUGAGACACGGUCCAGACUACUACGGGAGGCAGCAGUGGGGAAUAUUGGACAAUGGGCGCAAGCCUGAUCCAGCCAUACCGCGUGGGUGAAGAAGGCCUUCGGGUUGUAAAGCCCUUUUGUUGGGAAAGAAAAGCAGCAGGUUAAUACCCCGCUGUUCUGACGGUACCCAAAGAAUAAGCACCGGCUAACUUCGUG
This 492-nucleotide ribosomal RNA is filed under the name uncultured bacterium. RNAcentral's name for it is "partial 16S ribosomal RNA". It matches the Rfam family "Bacterial small subunit ribosomal RNA", at positions 29 to 507 of the family's 1533-position model. The record is from RNAcentral.